Long non-coding RNA from Prionailurus viverrinus (fishing cat), 540 nucleotides. RefSeq lists it as uncharacterized. NCBI's taxonomy places the organism in Eukaryota, Metazoa, Chordata, Mammalia, Carnivora, Felidae. The transcript has 3 exons. The record is from RefSeq and is a predicted model, not a curated record.
UUCUCAUUUAUUAAGGCAAAGAUGAAAAGAAGCAUCAGAUGCAAAAUUUCAAGUGCAGAUUUUUCUUCCUUAGGAAUUCUUUGUUGAAAUGGACCCGUUCCUAAGAUGUGGAGCUGCACAUUUUUAGCUGGGUAUGUUACAGCUAAUGGAAACACUACAUUUUUCAGCCUCUUUUGCUGCUGGAUGCCCAAGUGAACGAGUCUUUGCCAAUGGGAUAUAAAUAGAAAUGACAUCUGUAAGUCCAUGGUUGUACUUUUAAGAAGUUGCAGGAUCAGGAAGAUGCUGUGUCUACAGACUGCAUCAACAGGCUUACCCUCCCUGCAGCUGUCCACUGAAUUGGGACAAUGGGAGCAUCAGCAAGAGAUUAGAGAGAGGAGGGCAGUGAGGCAAGAGUAUUGCCUCCUAUAGAUCCUCCCCUUGAGGGCCCUGCAGAAGGCAGCCUCCCUCAUGCAGUUUCCAGCUCCAAGAAGGCAAAUCUUUCUUCACAGUCCUCUUGGUCUCUGAAUUUCAGUAAUGGAUCCCCUUCUUCCUUCUUCCUCC